Long non-coding RNA from Nycticebus coucang (slow loris), 1669 nucleotides. RefSeq lists it as uncharacterized. NCBI's taxonomy places the organism in Eukaryota, Metazoa, Chordata, Mammalia, Primates, Lorisidae. The transcript is spliced from 3 exons. The record is from RefSeq and is a predicted model, not a curated record.
AGAGGAUAGUAGGAUCGCUAAAGGUUUAUGAUUUGGUUCGAGGCAAGGUGGAAACCGCAUAAGGGGACAUGAUUUGAUUUUAAUUUGAUUUACAUUUAAAAAUUAAUGAUCUCUCCAGCUGCCUUGUGAAGAAUGGGGUUGGGGGCAAACGGGCAAGCUGAAACACAGUGCAAAGGGCGGGAGACGACAAGGGAUCCGACCACUACCACCGAUGGCAGUGCGAUUGGCAGAAAUUCUGUGAGGAUCUGCAUCUGUAAAUGCUUAGGAUUAAAAAGGAUCUGGCAGGAGAUUCCCCAUUAACUAUGCUUCUUCUGGGGUGCCGAAUGAGAUUCGAAGUUUUUGGCCGGGGCAGGGUUUGAACCCGCCACCUCCGGUGUAUGGGGCCGGUGCCCUAUCCAAAGAACUUUUGAAACAUAGAGGAAAUAAAAAAUGAUUAUACCCUCUAGUUCUGAGGUACCCAACUCCGGGCUGCACUUAUCCAUGGCCUGUUGGGAACCUGGCUAUACAGCAUCACCGCCUAAGCUCCGCCUCCUGUCCCAUCUCUCCUUCCCCACCUCCCCAUCUCCCACUCCCCAUUCACUCCCAAUACCCUGUCCAUGGAAAAAUUGUCUUCCAUGAAGCCAUUCCUUCAUGCCAAAAAAGGUUGAGGGCUGCUGCUCCAGUUCUAGUUCCACCCCUCCAGAAGAGUGUUUCAUGCCUCAAAUUGAGAAUCUGCUGAAUAGAUCCAUUCCCCCCAUAUGUACUAACACAUAAAAUUUUGUAUACAAUCUCAGAUGUACAGAGGCCCCUUUGAAAUAGAUUGUCUCAUUAAGUAUUUUACAAUGUUAUUUUUAAUGAGUGUUAUUCCACUGUAAAGCUAAUUAUUUAACCAAGACUCUAUGUUUAGGUCUUUUUUUAUUAUAGAAAUACAUGCAUGAAAUUUGAUGCAAUUAAAUAUUUGCAUAUUUCUAAGAUUUUUCUCAAGGAGAAAUUCGUAGAAAUGGAGCAGCUAGGGUCAAAAGGUUACAUCUCUUCAAAAUACAAAACAAGCUCUCCAGAAUAGUUCUAACAAUAUAUGGUCACACCAGAAAUAUAGGAGAAUUCCAGUUUAUUCUGAUAUUCCUAUACCCUUACCCACAUUGCUAUUAUAGUUAAAAAAAAUCAGUUUAAUAAACCCUUAUAUUCUAAUUACAGUCUCUCAUCUACUUUAAUUAGAAUAAUCUAUCAUCUCUACUCCUGAUUCUAACCCCUAUCUUUCUACAGUUAACUCCUAGGCCACAUAAGGUUUAAGUUCCCCACUUUUGACUCUAAAAUCUCACAUACACCACAGUCCUAGUUUUAAUUUCAGUCUUCAGCAGCUUCUAGUUCUCUCGCUAACUCCACUCCUUUCCUGGUCCUAAUUCCAACCAAUACCAUUCUUCCUAUGCAGAUGUGGGCACGUAUGAGCAUGUGUGCGCCCACACAUUAUUUUCACGUCUCUGAUUGGAGAAUAUUCAAAAAAUAUGUGAAAACAGAAAGAAAAUACAAAAAGGAAAAGACUUGUAAUUUCCCUACCCAAUGAAAACUACUGUUAAUAUUUUGCUUUUAUGUCUUCCAACCUUUUCUAUGAAUUAUAUGUGUAUUUAUAGCUUUAAACAAGAAUAUUAUCAUAGCAUGUUAUUAUAUUAUCAUAGCAUGUUAUACUUGUCAU